RNAcentral lists this ribosomal RNA (1408 nucleotides) under Lactiplantibacillus pentosus. Its description in RNAcentral is "bacterial SSU rRNA". It matches the Rfam family "Bacterial small subunit ribosomal RNA". Lineage: Bacteria; Bacillati; Bacillota; Bacilli; Lactobacillales; Lactobacillaceae. The record is from RNAcentral.
GUAUUGAUUGGUGCUUGCAUCAUGAUUUACAUUUGAGUGAGUGGCGAACUGGUGAGUAACACGUGGGAAACCUGCCCAGAAGCGGGGGAUAACACCUGGAAACAGAUGCUAAUACCGCAUAACAACUUGGACCGCAUGGUCCGAGUUUGAAAGAUGGCUUCGGCUAUCACUUUUGGAUGGUCCCGCGGCGUAUUAGCUAGAUGGUGGGGUAACGGCUCACCAUGGCAAUGAUACGUAGCCGACCUGAGAGGGUAAUCGGCCACAUUGGGACUGAGACACGGCCCAAACUCCUACGGGAGGCAGCAGUAGGGAAUCUUCCACAAUGGACGAAAGUCUGAUGGAGCAACGCCGCGUGAGUGAAGAAGGGUUUCGGCUCGUAAAACUCUGUUGUUAAAGAAGAACAUAUCUGAGAGUAACUGUUCAGGUAUUGACGGUAUUUAACCAGAAAGCCACGGCUAACUACGUGCCAGCAGCCGCGGUAAUACGUAGGUGGCAAGCGUUGUCCGGAUUUAUUGGGCGUAAAGCGAGCGCAGGCGGUUUUUUAAGUCUGAUGUGAAAGCCUUCGGCUCAACCGAAGAAGUGCAUCGGAAACUGGGAAACUUGAGUGCAGAAGAGGACAGUGGAACUCCAUGUGUAGCGGUGAAAUGCGUAGAUAUAUGGAAGAACACCAGUGGCGAAGGCGGCUGUCUGGUCUGUAACUGACGCUGAGGCUCGAAAGUAUGGGUAGCAAACAGGAUUAGAUACCCUGGUAGUCCAUACCGUAAACGAUGAAUGCUAAGUGUUGGAGGGUUUCCGCCCUUCAGUGCUGCAGCUAACGCAUUAAGCAUUCCGCCUGGGGAGUACGGCCGCAAGGCUGAAACUCAAAGGAAUUGACGGGGGCCCGCACAAGCGGUGGAGCAUGUGGUUUAAUUCGAAGCUACGCGAAGAACCUUACCAGGUCUUGACAUACUAUGCAAAUCUAAGAGAUUAGACGUUCCCUUCGGGGACAUGGAUACAGGUGGUGCAUGGUUGUCGUCAGCUCGUGUCGUGAGAUGUUGGGUUAAGUCCCGCAACGAGCGCAACCCUUAUUAUCAGUUGCCAGCAUUAAGUUGGGCACUCUGGUGAGACUGCCGGUGACAAACCGGAGGAAGGUGGGGAUGACGUCAAAUCAUCAUGCCCCUUAUGACCUGGGCUACACACGUGCUACAAUGGAUGGUACAACGAGUUGCGAACUCGCGAGAGUAAGCUAAUCUCUUAAAGCCAUUCUCAGUUCGGAUUGUAGGCUGCAACUCGCCUACAUGAAGUCGGAAUCGCUAGUAAUCGCGGAUCAGCAUGCCGCGGUGAAUACGUUCCCGGGCCUUGUACACACCGCCCGUCACACCAUGAGAGUUUGUAACACCCAAAGUCGGUGGGGUAACCUUUUAGGAAC